Molecule: ribosomal RNA, 497 nt
Filed under: uncultured bacterium
Lineage: Bacteria
Description: partial 16S ribosomal RNA
Rfam family: Bacterial small subunit ribosomal RNA
Source: RNAcentral
GAUGAACGCUGGCGGCGUGCCUAAUACAUGCAAGUCGAGCGAACAGACGAGGAGCUUGCUCCUCUGACGUUAGCGGCGGACGGGUGAGUAACACGUGGAUAACCUACCUAUAAGACUGGGAUAACUUCGGGAAACCGGAGCUAAUACCGGAUAACAUGUUGGACCGCAUGGUUCAACAGUGAAAGACGGUCUUGCUGUCACUUAUAGAUGGAUCCGCGCCGCAUUAGCUAGUUGGUAAGGUAACGGCUUACCAAGGCAACGAUGCGUAGCCGACCUGAGAGGGUGAUCGGCCACACUGGAACUGAGACACGGUCCAGACUCCUACGGGAGGCAGCAGUAGGGAAUCUUCCGCAAUGGGCGAAAGCCUGACGGAGCAACGCCGCGUGAGUGAAGAAGGUCUUCGGAUCGUAAAACUCUGUUAUUAGGGAAGAACAAAUGAGUAAGUAACUAUGCACGUCUUGACGGUACCUAAUCAGAAAGCCACGGCUAACUACGUG